RNAcentral lists this ribosomal RNA (366 nucleotides) under uncultured organism. RNAcentral's name for it is "bacterial SSU rRNA". It matches the Rfam family "Bacterial small subunit ribosomal RNA", at positions 526 to 896 of the family's 1533-position model. The record is from RNAcentral.
CGGAGGAUCCAAGCGUUAUCCGGAAUCAUUGGGUUUAAAGGGUCCGUAGGCGGUUUAGUAGGUCAGUGGUGAAAGCCCAUCGCUCAACGGUGGAACGGCCAUUGAUACUGCUAAACUUGAAUUAUUAGGAAGUAACUAGAAUAUGUAGUGUAGCGGUGAAAUGCUUAGAGAUUACAUGGAAUACCAAUUGCGAAGGCAGGUUACUACUAAUGGAUUGACGCUGAUGGACGAAAGCGUGGGUAGCGAACAGGAUUAGAUACCCUGGUAGUCCACGCCGUAAACGAUGGAUACUAGCUGUUGGGGGCAACUUCAGUGGCUAAGCGAAAGUGAUAAGUAUCCCACCUGGGGAGUACGUUCGCAAGAAUG